AGGUAAUAGAUACCCGGGUAGUCCUAGCUGUAAACGGUGCACGUUUGGUGUGGGAGGCAACCCCUUCCGUGCCGAAAGCUAAACGCGAUAAAACGUGCCGCCUGGGUAGUACGGUCGCAAGACUAAAACUCAAAGAAAUUGACGGGGACCCGCACAAGCGGUGGAGUAUGUGGCUUAAUUCGAUGCAACGCGAAGAACCUUACCAGGGCUUGACAUGUAUUGUAACCCCGGUGAAAGCCGGGCAGCAUGGAAACAUGCGCUUUACACAGGUGCUGCAUGGCUGUCGUCAGCUCGUGUCGUGAGAUGUUGGGUUAAGUCCCGCAACGAGCGCAACCCUUAUGAUUUGUUGCCACCGGUUCAUUCCGAGCACUCAAAUCAGACUGCCCAGAUUAACUGGGAGGAAGGUGGGGAUGACGUCAAGUCCGUAUGGCCCUUACGUCCUGGGCUGCACACGUACUACAAUGUCCAGUACAAAUUGAACCGAUACCGCAAGGU
RNAcentral lists this ribosomal RNA (495 nucleotides) under uncultured bacterium. RNAcentral describes it as "bacterial SSU rRNA". It matches the Rfam family "Bacterial small subunit ribosomal RNA", at positions 774 to 1263 of the family's 1533-position model. The record is from RNAcentral.